RNAcentral lists this long non-coding RNA (1123 nucleotides) under Monodelphis domestica (gray short-tailed opossum). Its description in RNAcentral is "lncRNA (ENSMODG00000031590.2)". Lineage: Eukaryota; Metazoa; Chordata; Mammalia; Didelphimorphia; Didelphidae. The record is from RNAcentral.
GCAUAUAUAUAUAUAUAUAUAUAUAUAUAUAUAUAUAUAUAUAUAUACCUGGUUGGUUAUCUCUCGAAUUGAGGAAGACAAUUGUCUUUGUGCGUUUUUGUGCACAAAGACAUCUGUGCUUGUAGAUUUAAGUGGAAAAGCCGAUGCACAGAGACAGUCCCACUCUCUCAGCAUUGGAAGCCUGGGUCCAGUGGCAGGAAAAGUCAUUACACUUGGAGACUUCCUCAGCUGCAUUGGAUGGCCAUGUUGUCUUUUGUGCUCCAACACGCCCUAAGCACUCCACAAUGCCUUGCUGCGUCGCCAUCUCAGCCGUUGAACCUUCUUGUUGGUUUCUUCAGCCUGUUCCGCUGAAACAGUCUUCACAUGCUGGAAAAACAUUGCACCUUCUACCUCUCUUGGGAGUUCUUUGGCCACAUUUCUCAGGAAUGAACCACCAUUUCUGAGCUCGAUUUGGAAACUUGAUGCUGAAGGCUCAGAUGAUUUCAUUUUCUACUUGGACUACAAGCACAAGGUUCCUUUUAGACCAACCAAGAAAGACAGGAGGAUAUAUGGUGGGGGAGUGGCCAUAAUGAAGGGUCCUUAUAAGCAAAUGUAGUGUUUAACUGAUACAAAUGGAUUCCAAAGUUCAGGUUUAUGUGCACUUCCAUGAAUCUAUGGUCUUAUCAGGUCAGAAUUUUUACUAACUAUGCAGAUGAAGACUCAUUUGUGCCAGUGAGAUGCAGCUGAAAGUGCUCUAACAGAAACCAGAGGAAUUGGAUUUAAAUCCAAAUAUUGCCACUUAUUAACUGCAUAACAUGGGGCAAGUCACUAAUGCCCUUAUUUCCAUUCUCUGUCAAAUGAAGAACUUGGACUAAGUGACCUCUCAGUUUCUUCAUAGCUCUAAAUCUGUACUUCACAUUUUAUGCAAUUCCAAAUCUCCCAGAGAGGAUCUAUCCAAUUCACUGGAAUUCUUUUCCCAUCUUCUAAUUUAAUUUGGAAUGUCAGGAUAAUACUUGGUAUUGGAACAAGACCCAAAUACUAUGUGGAAAAAAAUAAGAAGAAAUAGAAAGGAUAUUUUCUUAGAGUUUUUAGAUAAUACCUGACAUUGAUAUAGUUUAAAAUUUGCAAAGUGCUUGAAUGGGUG